UACGGAGGGUGCAAGCGUUAAUCGGAAUUACUGGGCGUAAAGCGUGCGUAGGUGGUUUGUUAAGUCUGAUGUGAAAGCCCUGGGCUCAACCUGGGAAUGGCAUUGGAAACUGGCGGACUGGAGUGCGGUAGAGGGUAGCGGAAUUCCCGGUGUAGCAGUGAAAUGCGUAGAGAUCGGGAGGAACAUCCGUGGCGAAGGCGGCUACCUGGACCAGCACUGACACUGAGGCACGAAAGCGUGGGGAGCAAACAGG
Molecule: ribosomal RNA, 253 nt
Filed under: uncultured bacterium
Lineage: Bacteria
Description: partial 16S ribosomal RNA
Rfam family: Bacterial small subunit ribosomal RNA
Source: RNAcentral